Molecule: microRNA, 23 nt
Filed under: Petromyzon marinus (sea lamprey)
Lineage: Eukaryota; Metazoa; Chordata; Hyperoartia; Petromyzontiformes; Petromyzontidae
Description: pma-miR-96a
Gene: pma-miR-96a
Source: miRBase by way of RNAcentral
UUUGGCACUGGCACAUACUUGCU